UUUAGUUGACGGACUUAUAGCAGGUCGUUCCAGUGCCUCGAAACGUCAAAGAAAAGUGAUUGCAAUCAGCUAUUAAACAGAAAAGGAGAAAAAUAAUAUAUAUUUUUUGAAAAUACACAUAUAGUAAGCUAUGUGGUUUGAGGAGUAUUGUGUUUCCAAAAUGUUUAGAAGGUGUAGCUUGAUUAUUUAUUUUUACUAGUCAGAUCAAGGCUACGAUGUCAGGGAAGCCGGGAAAUUCGACAGGAUCUGAUCGUUUUGAAUACUUACAAUCACUAGUUACCGAAUUUCAGGACACAGACAGUGAAGAGGCCAAAGAGCAAGUACUGGCGAAUUUGGCAAAUUUUGCAUAUGACCCCAGAAACAUGGUGGACCUACGAACGCUUCAGGUGAUGGACCUCUUUUUGGACAUGCUCACAGAAGAUAAUGAGAACUUUGUUGAAUUUGGGAUGGGAGGGCUGUGUAACAUGAGUAUGGACCCUGAGUGCCGAGACCAGAUCCUGCAGAGUGAUGGCAUCGCCUUGGUAACCAGCUGCCUGUCAAGCCGGCGAGAGGAGACGGUACUGUCGGCCAUCUCCACACUCAUGAAUCUCACCACGGCGGCCUCCCGCUCUCUCACCACAGACACCACGGUGGUGCAGUGCAUGCUGCGCUUUUCCCUCUCUCAGAACCCACGCUUGCGCAACCUGGCCUCUGUGUUUGUUCAGGACUACUGCACGAGGCAGCAGGUGGCCAGGGCAGAGGAGCGAUUGCAGGGCCACCAUCAGACCACUCUGGGGAUCCCUCUGCCCAAGGAUUAGUAUGGACAUAGAGGAACGCGGUUGCCUCUGGUCCUUUUAGACUGGAUAUCUGAUGGACUGAUUAAUCUAUACUCUGAGACAGUGACUGGACUCAGGCAGGAUCACACUGCCUGGGACUGCACAAGGAUGGUUUGACAGAAAACAGUCUGACAGAUUUUAUUGUAUUGGCUGAACAUGUUGUCGUUGGUAGUUACUGUCCUUGAACAAGGUCUACAUUGCUACAACAUGUCACUGCCAUAUGAGGGAGAUGAUGCCCCUUUUUUGGUCAGCAAGGACUGGUUGAUGGAUGACUGCUGUGUAUAAUGCCUGCUAUGCAUUUGGCUACUAUCAAAUCUAGUUUUAAAGUGCAUUCCUUGCUAACACGUGAGGCAGCACAUGAAGACCAGAGACUCCUCAGUUCUGUUGAAUGUGUCUCAGGUCCAGACCUCAAAGCAGCCUGCUCCUGCUAAGCAUCAUGUGCAGAGCACAUGUCCUGGGUGGACCUGAAAGGAAAUUCUACACAGCUGGGAGUCUUCAUGCAUGUGUGCGUUUGUAGCGUUCCAAAGGUUUACUGGACGUCCACCUGCCACUGAGAUCAAUAGGAAAAUGAACUGUAAUCGUAAAUAUGACUUUACGUCCGGUAGAAGAAGCUGACCCCCCAGAUUUUAAUUGUAUAAUUCGCACCCUGUUUCUAACCAAACUAAAGAGAAUCUUCCUGAGAUUAACAAGCGUUUGGCUGAGAGGAGAGACAAUAUUUAUGAAGUGAAAUAGAAAUUAGACUCGAUGGAACACAUGCUUACCCACUGAGCCACAGAGGUUUCCUGCAAAGUUCCUUUCUACAAAACAGUGUAAUUGCCCUUAUGACACUACUAAAUGCCAAAGGACAACAUAUGUUUUGUUUCUGCUAAUGCCAAGUUAUAAAACAGAAUACUCUGCCUUCUAAUCAUACUUAUAAAACAAGUGAAAGUUUGCUGAAGUAUUUUUAAGUACUCGUUCACAAAAUACUGUGACAAUAAGUAGAACUUUCUUGAAUAUACUUAUUUAUUUUUGAAACACGGAUAAAUACUAAACAGAAAUGUGAAGCUUAUCCUCUAUUAGGGGUGGGAAUCUUUUGGUACUUCACGAUUCUUGGGGUCACGAUUUGAUAAAAAAUUGAUCGAAUUUGAUUUUGAAUCAAAUCGCGAUUCAAUAUAUGCUUACAUAAUAAAUAAAAAAAUGUGAAUCGAUGUGAAUCGCAAGAAGACUGAAUCGCGAUUCAUAUGUGAAUCAAUUUCCCCCCCCAAUCCUAGUACUUAGUGUUGAAUGACAUUUAAUUAGGUUGCUAAUGUGAUUGCUUUAUCUGUAAAUUAAAUUUAUGUUUUUUUCAAUGACUGAAUUAAUUGAAAUAA
This is an RNA transcript of Hypomesus transpacificus, 2164 nucleotides long. It is a transcript of the gene named armadillo repeat containing 7, with no coding region annotated. The transcript has 4 exons. The record is from RefSeq and is a predicted model, not a curated record. Lineage: Eukaryota; Metazoa; Chordata; Actinopteri; Osmeriformes; Osmeridae.